UUCACAUAUAACUCACUCCCUAAUUUCCGUUACUGAGUCCGUUUUGGAAAGAGGGAGGAUGGACACCAGAGACCCCAGGGGGACUCCCGCCCGCUGCAAGGCUCUGCCCUGACCCACUUCUACGUCCAGAUCAUCAGGAUGCCGCAGCGGGUGCGGUUCUGAGAUGUGUUGUCUGAUUAAUUUCACAGUGGCCUGGACACAGCGGGAGUCUUCUCCUCAAACUACAUGGGAAGAUGGAACACUGGUCCGCUGGGAUUAGUCUAACGUCUCACUCGGACAGAGGAAAACCUCAUGAUCUAAAACACUGAGGUUGGAUAUUAACUCCUCGGCUCGGACAAAGUGCGGUAGAUUCAUCUUCACGGUGCAUGAUGGGAAGCAUGGAAAAAUGGAAGUGAUAUCGCUGAUCAGUGAAGUGGGUCGUUAUGGAGAACAUCUGCUCCAGGCUCACAGACACGGCUUUUGAGCGUUACUUGACCAUGUUUGGUGUGAAGAGGAAAACUGGUUAUCAGGAGAAACGCAGGCUGUUCAGAUGACGCUAACUCGCUCAACAACAAGCCAACAUCAAGGUCAUAAGGUCACUCCAGCGACAUCAUACCUGAGCUUAUCGGCCACGAAGAUGACCCUGCGCUCCAGCAGCAGCGAGGCGAACACACACACCACCUGUCUCACACUCAGGCAGCUGAAGAGGCUUUCAAAAUCCACGUGCUCCAACCUCGAGUCCAUCGGCCUCCUCAACUCCAUCACCUGAGAAGAACGUUUAAUUAUGCAUUACGUAAACACCUCAUUUAUGAGAUUUAAAGACGUUCACACCACAGCACUCUUACGUUCUGGAUUGUGAUUGGUCAGAAGGUGUUAAUUAGCCCUGACAGUAGCGCAGCUGCAAAUCACGAGUUUAUUUAUAAUGAAUGCGCUCGUUCUAAUACGCUAUGGUUUCUAUAGCAACGGCGCAUUCACGGGGACAUGUAUGGCGGAUGCACAGCUGAUAAUAAACGGGUUAAUCGAAUCUUCGAAUCUUUAAAUAUAAAAGAACAUACACGACAGAGCCACGCCCAUUUUUACAUAAAAUCAGCUACGUGCAUGUUGUUAAAAAUAAUUAUUGAAGUGUAAUUUCCUCCACAGAUACUCGUUCCACAUUCCCUGGUGCUGUUACAGGAUGGAAACAGGGAUCUGAUCCGGGUACGGCUGGUUCUGGAUUCAUAUUACAGUAGAUUUAUUUAUUUAUUUAUUUAUUUAUUUAUUUAUUUAUAAGGAGUUAUAAUGAUCUGACCUCGUUGCCUGCACCAGGAAGGAAGGUUUUGACUUUAAUGGUUUUUCCGGGGGCUGGAAACGGAGACUCCAUCAGACUCCGCAUGAAGGGAUAGACCAGAGCUGCUGAGAUCCCUCUCCUCUUCUCCACUUCAUCCAGGAUCUGGGAAAAUCGACCAUGUGGUUGAACACGUGUGAUGAAUUACAUCCAGAGUGUGACAUCACAACAACAGGGGUUUUUUCACUAUUCAGACUAUUAAAAAAAUUCUAUAAUAUAGCAAUUUAAUUCUUAUUUUAUCUUUUUUUUUUACUCAUGUUGGCCUGAGUCUUCAACAGCGCUUUAAAUAAAACGUAUUUUAUUACCACUUUAUUAGCACUAAUAAAAACCGUUACCACUAACGCUGCGAAGGCGUCUGUUUUAUUUACAGACCUAAACUGAGUAUCUGUGUAAAUUAAACAGCUGGUUUUAAUCUCCUGGUUUUUAAUCUCCCGUUCCUCUUCGUUUAAACGCUCACAACGUUUCCCACGCUAAUGACGAGUGCUUAUGUUUACACGCGAAGAUUCUCCGCGAUCCGUAGGAAUGCUUUCUUUCUGAUUGACAUUGCAAAUGAACUGUUUAUACGGAUAAUAAAACCGGUGUUUAUCUGGACAGUACGUGUUAUCUGAUGAAAAGUUGUGCACGAGCGGGAAGUGAGGUUUAGUGUUUGCGUUACCAUGACAACGAGGAGAAUGUGAGUCUUGCCGGUGUGUUUAUCUUUUUAAUCCUGCUGCUUGUGUUUUUAUGUUUUAAAAUGAUCUGGGUUUUUUAUUUGAGUUUUAAAUGAUUUCUUCUCAGCAAAACAU
Ictalurus punctatus (channel catfish) is the source of this 2088-nucleotide long non-coding RNA. RefSeq lists it as uncharacterized. The transcript is spliced from 2 exons. NCBI's taxonomy places the organism in Eukaryota, Metazoa, Chordata, Actinopteri, Siluriformes, Ictaluridae. The record is from RefSeq and is a predicted model, not a curated record.